This 73-nucleotide microRNA precursor is filed under the name Myotis lucifugus (little brown bat). RNAcentral's name for it is "mir-9229 microRNA precursor family". It matches the Rfam family "mir-9229 microRNA precursor family". Lineage: Eukaryota; Metazoa; Chordata; Mammalia; Chiroptera; Vespertilionidae. The record is from Rfam by way of RNAcentral.
AGACACCCUUAUGGGCAAGACUUGUUUCAGUGGGGCUUGGUGCUCACUGAGUCUGCCCCAUGAGAGUGUCCCU